CGGUCACGUUCGUUGCGACUAGAAACCACAAUUUCUGGUGUGCACAAAAAUAGUUUUCGCCGUCAGAGGUCGCUAUGAUUUGUUAAAAAUCUUUAAAUCACGCUUUUGGUCACUAUUUUCACAAAGGAACUAAAAAUUGGACAACAGAAUAUAUAUAAAUGAUCCUACUUAUAGGCCACCUCGACAACCCUGUUUUUGUCAGGAUUUGUGCAGCACUGACUUCCCCAUCUUUACUUAUUUAACCUCAAAAAUCCUACUGAAGUUGUUAAGCUUUCCUUUGUCAUCUAUUAGGAUUACAACAUCGCCGACUUUGGGUUUGAUCUUAUUUGAAACAUGUUUUGAAUUCCUGACAUGUUGCUCUUUAAGUGCGUCAAUAUAGUUAGAGCUCCACAGUUUAUCGAAAGUAAGCAAAGUCCGAUUACAUUUUGAAAGAGUUAGCAAUGACUCUCUAUCUACUAAAGUACGACCAUGCAGGAGCAUGUGGGCGACAAGCUAUGGUUCGUCAUUGGGUCAUAUAUGUAAGCGGUCUAUGUUUACUACGUACUGGCGUGUGCACAAUGUAGGAACAUAUCUACAUCUACAUAUAUAGUGACUAUAGACGUAUAGAUUCGCUCAAUCACGCAUG
RNAcentral lists this ribosomal RNA (625 nucleotides) under Foraminifera environmental sample. RNAcentral's name for it is "partial small subunit ribosomal RNA". Lineage: Eukaryota; Foraminifera. The record is from RNAcentral.